This 253-nucleotide ribosomal RNA is filed under the name uncultured bacterium. RNAcentral's name for it is "partial 16S ribosomal RNA". It matches the Rfam family "Bacterial small subunit ribosomal RNA", at positions 524 to 776 of the family's 1533-position model. The record is from RNAcentral.
UACGUAGGGGGCAAGCGUUGUCCGGAAUUAUUGGGCGUAAAGAGCUCGUAGGCGGUUUGUCGCGUCGAAUGUGAAAACCCGGGGCUCAACCCCGGGCCUGCAUUCGAUACGGGCAGACUAGAGUUCGGUAGGGGAGUCUGGAAUUCCUGGUGUAGCGGUGAAAUGCGCAGAUAUCAGGAGGAACACCGGUGGUGUAGACGGCUCUCUGGACCGUAACUGACGCUGAUGCGCGAAAGCUAGGGGAGCAAACAGG